This 597-nucleotide long non-coding RNA is filed under the name Phoenix dactylifera (date palm). RNAcentral describes it as "long non-coding RNA (PDAC_LNC019721)". Lineage: Eukaryota; Viridiplantae; Streptophyta; Magnoliopsida; Arecales; Arecaceae. The record is from RNAcentral.
GGAUGGAUCUAAACUCGAUCUGGACCUAAAUUUUUCAGAUUAAGACCGGACCAUGUAUAAACCCAACCCGAAUAACCCAUUGGAUCAAAUAAUUUAGCCAUAAAUCCAACUCGAUCAGAUCUUCUAUUGAGUUGAAUCUAGAACUAACAUUAAAACCGGAACAAGAAACUGAAUCAGAUCGAAAUCACUCAUGCCCUGUAAAGUUGACAAAUUAUCAUGGGCAACCCCGGACCUUUUCCUCUCAUAGCCAUGCUUUAGGCAUGCCCACCCACAAACUUAGUAGGUCCAAUGUGCAAACAUUGGCUCAUCCUUUUCAUCCAGCCAAAUCAAGUUGGGUGGGCCAGGGGAUAUUAGGGAUCAAUAGGAGUCAUCAUGACGGGGGUUACAACAGCCUAAUGAGCUAUACGGUAACUCACGCUUGAAUUGAUUUUACAACUGUACAAGAGCCCAGUCUUGAAACUAAAGCUUGCAACAUUUCAGCAAAUAUAGAUGGCAUUGCAAGAUAUGUCCUCUUACAACAAUUUUUUCACCAUCAUAAAUAGACCACAUUUAUUGCACCCUCGAGCACUUGAUGUCUAUAUGGCUAUUGUUUUCACU